Molecule: ribosomal RNA, 253 nt
Filed under: uncultured bacterium
Lineage: Bacteria
Description: partial 16S ribosomal RNA
Rfam family: Bacterial small subunit ribosomal RNA
Source: RNAcentral
CACGAACUGUCCUAACGUUGUUCGGAAUCACUGGGCUUAAAGGGCGCGUAGGCGGUCCGACAAGUCAGGGGUGAAAUCCUGCAGCUUAACUGCAGAAGUGCCUCUGAUACUGUCGGUCUGGAGGGAGAUAGGGGUGUGCGGAACUUCCAGUGGAGCGGUGAAAUGCGUUGAUAUUGGAAGGAACGCCGGAGGCGAAAGCGGCGCACUGGAUCUCUUCUGACGCUGAGGCGCGAAAGCUAGGGGAGCAAACGGG